Molecule: ribosomal RNA, 278 nt
Filed under: uncultured bacterium
Lineage: Bacteria
Description: partial 16S ribosomal RNA
Rfam family: Bacterial small subunit ribosomal RNA
Source: RNAcentral
UCAAACUGGAGAUGGCGACCGGCGCACGGGUGAGUAACACGUAUCCAACCUGCCGAUAACUCGGGGAUAGCCUUUCGAAAGAAAGAUUAAUACCCGAUGGCAUAAUAGAACCGCAUGGUUUGAUUAUUAAAGAAUUUCGGUUAUCGAUGGGGAUGCGUUCCAUUAGGCAGUUGGCGGGGGUAACGGCCCACCAAGCCUUCGAUGGAUAGGGGUUCUGAGAGGAAGGUCCCCCACAUUGGAACUGAGACACGGUCCAAACUCCUACGGGAGGCAGCAUG